UUAAAUUGAAGAGUUUGAUCAUGGCUCAGAUUGAACGCUGGCGGCAGGCCUAACACAUGCAAGUCGAACGGUAACAGGAAACAGCUUGCUGUUUCGCUGACGAGUGGCGGACGGGUGAGUAAUGUCUGGGAAACUGCCUGAUGGAGGGGGAUAACUACUGGAAACGGUAGCUAAUACCGCAUAACGUCGCAAGACCAAAGAGGGGGACCUUCGGGCCUCUUGCCAUCGGAUGUGCCCAGAUGGGAUUAGCUAGUAGGUGGGGUAACGGCUCACCUAGGCGAC
RNAcentral lists this ribosomal RNA (282 nucleotides) under Escherichia coli. Its description in RNAcentral is "partial 16S ribosomal RNA". It matches the Rfam family "Bacterial small subunit ribosomal RNA", at positions 1 to 277 of the family's 1533-position model. The record is from RNAcentral. Lineage: Bacteria; Pseudomonadati; Pseudomonadota; Gammaproteobacteria; Enterobacterales; Enterobacteriaceae.